Molecule: ribosomal RNA, 489 nt
Filed under: Streptococcus gordonii
Lineage: Bacteria; Bacillati; Bacillota; Bacilli; Lactobacillales; Streptococcaceae
Description: bacterial SSU rRNA
Rfam family: Bacterial small subunit ribosomal RNA
Source: RNAcentral
GACGAACGCUGGCGGCGUGCCUAAUACAUGCAAGUAGAACGCACAGUUUAUACCGUAGCUUGCUACACCAUAGACUGUGAGUUGCGAACGGGUGAGUAACGCGUAGGUAACCUGCCUGGUAGCGGGGGAUAACUAUUGGAAACGAUAGCUAAUACCGCAUAAUAUUAAUUAUUGCAUGAUAAUUAAUUGAAAGGUGCAAUUGCACCACUACCAGAUGGACCUGCGUUGUAUUAGCUAGUAGGUGAGGUAACGGCUCACCUAGGCGACGAUACAUAGCCGACCUGAGAGGGUGAUCGGCCACACUGGGACUGAGACACGGCCCAGACUCCUACGGGAGGCAGCAGUAGGGAAUCUUCGGCAAUGGACGAAAGUCUGACCGAGCAACGCCGCGUGAGUGAAGAAGGUUUUCGGAUCGUAAAGCUCUGUUGUAAGAGAAGAACGGGUGUGAGAGUGGAAAGUUCACACUGUGACGGUAUCUUACCAGAAAGG